This 491-nucleotide ribosomal RNA is filed under the name uncultured bacterium. RNAcentral's name for it is "bacterial SSU rRNA". It matches the Rfam family "Bacterial small subunit ribosomal RNA", at positions 28 to 508 of the family's 1533-position model. The record is from RNAcentral.
GACGAACGCUGGCGGCGCGCUUAACACAUGCAAGUCGAGCGAGAACCCACCUUCGGGUGGGGGAAAGCGGCGAACGGGUGAGUAACACGUGGGCAACCCACCCUUGGUAUCCGGAUAGCCCGGGGAAACCCGGAUUAAUACGGAAUGGCCCAACAGCUCUUCGGGGCGAUUGGAAAAGGUAGCUUCGGCCUCCGACCAAGGACGGGCCCGCGGUGGAUUAGCUUGUUGGUGAGGUAACGGCCCACCAAGGCGACGAUCCAUAGCUGGUCUGAGAGGACGAUCAGCCACACUGGGACUGAGACACGGCCCAGACCCCUACGGGAGGCAGCAGUGGGGAAUCUUGCGCAAUGGGCGAAAGCCUGACGCAGCGACGCCGCGUGGGGGAAGAAGGCUUUCGGGUUGUAAACCCCUUUCAGGAAGGACGAAGCCACUCGGGUUAAUAGCCCAGAGGGUGACGGUACUUCCAGAAGAAGCCCCGGCUAACUACGUGC